GCUGGGCAUAGUGGCACAUGCCUGUAGUCCCAGCUAUUCCGGAGGCUGAGGUGGGAGGACUGCUUGAGCCCAGGAGUUCUGGGCUGUAGUGUGCUAUGCCCAUCAGGUGUCUGCACUAAGUUCAGCAUCAAUAUGGUGACGUCCCAGGAGCGGGGCACUACCAGGUUGCCUAUGGAGGGGUGAACCAGUCAGAAACGAAGCAGGUCAAAACUCCCUUGCUGAUCAGUAGUGGGAUCAUGCCUGUGAAUAGCCACUGUAUUCCAGCCUGGGCAACAUAGCGAGACCCUCUCUCU
Molecule: signal recognition particle RNA, 293 nt
Filed under: Saimiri boliviensis boliviensis (Bolivian squirrel monkey)
Lineage: Eukaryota; Metazoa; Chordata; Mammalia; Primates; Cebidae
Description: Metazoan signal recognition particle RNA (ENSSBOG00000000147.1)
Rfam family: Metazoan signal recognition particle RNA
About the family: The signal recognition particle (SRP) is a universally conserved ribonucleoprotein.
Source: RNAcentral